RNAcentral lists this unclassified non-coding RNA (2862 nucleotides) under Harpegnathos saltator (Jerdon's jumping ant). Its description in RNAcentral is "zinc finger and BTB domain-containing protein 17- like, transcript variant X1". The record is from RNAcentral. Lineage: Eukaryota; Metazoa; Arthropoda; Insecta; Hymenoptera; Formicidae.
CAAUGUCACGUAGUAACAUUGAUGGAAUUGUCUCCUCCAUAUUCGCCCCUUACGUCGUACCUCGUGUCUAUCCUGUUUUUCGCGCGUUUCACCUGGCUGUCGUACUGUUGAACGAGGAAAGCAGAAGAGUGCUUUGAAGGAUACAAACUUUGAAGAAAAAAAAAGAAGACUUCGUGACGGAAGGUCUCGCCGAACGUUGUCGUCGAUACGACAAAACGACGCGGUACAGCGGGCGUGGGUUCCCUUGAUUAUCGUCGGUUCCUCUUCUUCUUUAUGUAUCUCAGAACGUAAUCUCGAGAACGCAGAACGAAAGGAAAAAUGGAGCUGGAAGAGAGAGAGGCGAAGGUGUGCAGGCUAUGUGGCCAAUUUGAAAGGCUCUACAUCGAUGUGUUCGGCGAGGAGGGCAUGAGACGCUACCUGAGCGUCAAAAUCCACUCGAAGAUCAACAUAAUGAUAGAUGAAAUGGAUCCUCUGCCCAAGGCGAUCUGUGUUCAGUGUCUGGGCAAGCUUGAAUUCGUCUGCGACUUUCAAGAGGAAUGUCUACGCACCCAACAUGAGUUACGCGAUCGAUACAAUCUACCGCCCUUAACAGAGUUUACGCAGAUAAAAAACGAAGACACACCACCGACCAGAUCGACGGAUAAUAACAACAGUAUUGAAAAGAAUCUUAAUUCUACUAGCGGCGAGGACUCCGAGCAGCAGCAGCAGCAGCAGCAACAGCAGCAGCAGCAGCAACAGCAACAACAACAGCAACAACAGAGAGUCCUCAGGAGAAGUCUCCGUAGCCAACAACAAGCUGUUAAAUCUAACGACGAAAUUAGCGUGGAAGAGAAUUCGCAAAGUAGUCAGAGUAUACAAAGCACAGAAUUGACGCCGACUCGUUGGUUAAGACGUCGGCACAACGUGGACUCCACGACGUCGUCCGUGGGCAACAACAACGAGCAAGACGAAGACGUGAUCCCAAUCGCGAACAGAUUGAGGAGUCACAAUAACGCGGAUAACAGUAACCAGGCUAAUGCUUCUUCUUUGAGUGUCAGUAAUAGCGAUAACGAGAGCGCUACGGAGAAGCAUUUGUCACAGGACCCAUUGGUUGUGGGGUCGACGAUACAAUUACCAACUUCGGCGUUGAACAAAUUGUUAACUCUCGUCUCCGGUUCUCCCGACAUCGAGGUGUCGGUGAAUGAGCCGCGGAAUCGCGGCGGCGGCGGCGGCGGCGGCGGCGGCGGCGGUGGCGGCGGUGGCGGCGGCGGCGACGAUGGAGACGGCGUCGGUGGUAACAGCAGUAACAGUAACGGCAGCAACAACGAUGCUGAGGAUAUCAGUUUUACCGUGGAACUUUGUAGGAAAUCAACUGAAGACGACGCAUUACCGGAGUUGAGAGUGCGCGCACGGGUGUUCCCCGAUCAGGGUUCCUGCAUGGUCGACGCCACGAUCGUGGACUUGCUGCAGAAUUCUCAGAGCACCACCGUGGAAGUGAACGGUAUCGUCAACAGUAUCCUCAGCAGCACCGGGAAGAACAAUGGUAUCACGGCGUCGAAACUGAAGGACUUGGCGAAGCUGGAACAAAUGACAGAAGCCAUGCAAAAACCCGAGGACCUUUUUCGUGUGGAUGGUGAGGAGAUCAAAGUGGACGAUAAUGUGGAGCACGUGACGAACGACGGUCAGAACGGCUACGCGUGCAAGCUCUGUCAGAAGUUCUACGAGCGCCGGGACAAGUGCACGGUGCACGUGAAGACACAUCUCGGUAUCAAGCAGUACACAUGCGUCGUGUGUAACGCCAAAUUCGUCUGUAAAUCAGACGUGAUGAAGCAUAUCCGUUGCUCGCACACCAAUCCACGGCCCAUACAGUGUCCCAAGUGUCCGAAACGCUUCAAGUCCAAGUUUUACCUGACUGAGCACGAUAACGUUCACAAGGGCGUGCGACCGUACAGCUGCGCCGACUGCGGGCAGAGCUACCAUCACAAGGUUUCGUUGCAAAUUCACAUGAAGUCGCAUCAGCCGUCGCAGAACCUCGCCUGCGAGUACUGCGGCAAGGUGUUUCCAUAUCGCACGCGACUCCUCAGUCACAUCGCCAGUGUGCACCUGAAGAAACGCCGUAACUUCCGCUGCCGCUUCUGCUACAAUCUGUACUCCAGUCUGUCUGUGUUGAACGAACACAUCAAGACGCGCCAUGCUACCACGCACACUUGCGGCAUCUGCGGCAAGACUUUCAAAGUCGUGUCCAAGUUCAAGGCGCACGUAAUGCAGCACUCGAAUCCAAAGCCGUUUGUUUGUAGCAUCUGCAACAAUCGUUACGCAUCUAAAGCCUUCCUUAAUGAGCACCUGCUCAAGCACGAGGGCCUGCGCAAGCACAAGUGUAAAACAUGCAACGCCACUUUCGCACAGGCGAGUCACCUGGCCGCACAUCGCCACGUGCACGGCGAGAAGACGCACGCUUGCCCGGAGUGCGGGCGUAAAUUCAAUCGUCGCGAUAACAUGAAAGUGCACCGGAAGCGACAUUUCGAACAAAAGAAGAGUGGCGGCAAGCAAAAGACUACUGCGUCCAGCGGUAAUGAUUCGGUGGCUGCGCCGACCGCGACUAACGAAAAAUAGUGCGGGCGGACAGUGAAAAUAAAAUUAUCAUUACCAAUGGCGAAAUACUGGAGAUUUAGGCAUAAGAAUUAUGUAGAUUUUGUAUAACAAGAGACUUAAAACUGUAGAUCGCGAGAGGUCAACGGUAACGCGCGUUCGACCGAGGAGUCCUGAGGCUCGAGUUUAGAAAUGCGAUACAGGACCAACGUAGCGAAUACGAUUACGUGCAGAAAGAAACAUACAGCGUAUUUCAGCCGAGGAAAUACCUUUGCGCUUUUCCACGUCAACCGG